This is a long non-coding RNA of Neopsephotus bourkii (Bourke's parrot), 1398 nucleotides long. RefSeq lists it as uncharacterized. The transcript has 2 exons. The record is from RefSeq and is a predicted model, not a curated record. NCBI's taxonomy places the organism in Eukaryota, Metazoa, Chordata, Aves, Psittaciformes, Psittacidae.
UUCACAGAAGACUCUUACUGCCUUCGUCUUGUGUUGGUGUCGUUCUAAAUCUAGGCAUCAAAAAGAGUGAAAUGUGCCUUGGGUCAGCUCAGAACACCAAAACAAAGUUUAGUAAGCAGUACGGGAUGAUAGAUGGUCCCCUGCAGACCUCAACCCGUCGUUUGCUUUCUUUACUGUCAUUUCUGGCUAUUUCCACACGAAGCUGCUGCACAUGGACAGACCACAAUUGUUCUGUCAACUAUUUUAUCACAUUCAAGUUGCAUCUGGUUACAUUAUUCACCCUCUGCGUGGAUCUGUGAAAUCCCCAAACACCUCACGCGUCAUGAGGCAAAACAACUCAAUGGGUUUAACAACUAAAAUAGACCAGAGCUUCAGGUGGCUCAUUUUCCUCCAUGCGGGCUCUUUAUUCCUCAGGCUUGAGAGUGCCUAUGUUACAACAAAACAAGUUGGCCUCAGAAGGCCUAGUCAAACACACAAUGUUGCAAACCCACCCAGUGCGGUCACCCACAUUGUCCUCUGAUCUCAAUUUCUGUCUUCCUUGGAAAUCUGCGCCUUUGUUAGGGUCCACACAGUCACCUCUGAGGUUCUCUGCUUCCCAGAAAAAACCCACGCAAGCUGUAUUUCAUAACUGGUUCCUUAUCUCUGGAGCACCUGUGAAGGGAAUGAGCAGGGUAAGCCUGAGUUAACCCUUCGGCAGGUAAAGGGCUAGGGAACACUGAUUGCAGGCUUAUUAGUUAUUUUGGGAUCUGCAGGACUUUUCUUGGACUAUUUUAUAUCAGUUGCAGCCAGGUUAACUGUGUAUGCAUACUAUAUAAAAUGCUGUAUGUUGUGUCCAUCUUCACCUAGACAAAUAGUAAACUUCUUUGUACAGUUUCAGGCCUGUGUGUGUGAACAAAAGCAUCAGAAUGAGCGGGGAAGUAGUGGAGCUGCAAGACAGAGAUCAGUGACCUGAGAUCACGCACCCACAACAAAUCUGCUGCUGCAGAACUCACGCUGUCCACAAGCCUGAGCACUUGGUAAAACAAGAUGAUAUGAUUAACUUUAUUUUACAUAUACAAAGCAGUGUUUAAGACGUUUAAGCAGAGGUCAAGCAACGAGUGAUGGAAUCACCAACCAGAACAGUGCCAAGGUCUCCUCGUUGUCCUCUUUCCUGCCAUAAGCCCUCUGUGUGAUGCUGUCACUUGUAGCCCAUUUUUUCCUUACAACUUACUUGGGCUAAAAGCCAUUUUCAGGCUUUAGUUCAGAUUAUGAAGCAGCCAGUUUUGAGUUUCUUGUAAACCACAAGGUAGCCAGAGUACAGUCAUUAAUCUAAGAAGGCAAGAUUAAUAAUACAGAACUUUGAAAUUUCUUGGCCAAACUCAGCAUUGUAGUAAGUAAUAAAUAAUUUCUUUGAUGAUA